This 453-nucleotide ribosomal RNA is filed under the name uncultured organism. Its description in RNAcentral is "partial 16S ribosomal RNA". It matches the Rfam family "Bacterial small subunit ribosomal RNA", at positions 332 to 801 of the family's 1533-position model. The record is from RNAcentral.
UACACUCCUGCGGGAGGCAGCAGUGGGGAAUAUUGGACAAUGGGCGAAAGCCUGAUCCAGCAAUGCCGCGUGAGUGAUGAAGGCCUUAGGGUUGUAAAGCUCUUUUACCCGGGAUGAUAAUGACAGUACCGGGAGAAUAAGCCCCGGCUAACUCCGUGCCAGCAGCCGCGGUAAUACGGAGGGGGCUAGCGUUGUUCGGAAUUACUGGGCGUAAAGCGCGCGUAGGCGGCUUUGUAAGUUAGAGGUGAAAGCCCGGAGCUCAACUUCGGAAUUGCCUUUAAGACUGCAUCGCUAGAAUCGUGGAGAGGUGAGUGGAAUUCCGAGUGUAGAGGUGAAAUUCGUAGAUAUUCGGAAGAACACCAGUGGCGAAGGCGACUCACUGGACACGUAUUGACGCUGAGGUGCGAAAGCGUGGGGAGCAAACAGGAUUAGAAACCCCUGUAGUCCCAUGAU